This is a small nucleolar RNA of 226 nucleotides. It matches the Rfam family "Small nucleolar RNA snR80".
UGACGUUUGAUUACACUUUUGAUCUUAAUUUAAGUUUUUCUAAGGAGAUUACGAUUACCUGAAUUUUAAUUCAUUAGAAUUCUAUUUACUUGAUUGUUUUCUCUUAAAACUUAAUUAUCAGUAUUAUGAUCAUGGUCCGUUUCAAACAAGAUUAAAUAGGCGACUUACUCACCAAGAUAUACCAUUUCCUCCAUGGUUAUAUUGGUCCAUUUUCAGUGCCAGACAU